Molecule: ribosomal RNA, 253 nt
Filed under: uncultured bacterium
Lineage: Bacteria
Description: partial 16S ribosomal RNA
Rfam family: Bacterial small subunit ribosomal RNA
Source: RNAcentral
UACGUAGGGUGCGAGCGUUGUCCGGAAUUAUUGGGCGUAAAGGGCUCGUAGGCGGUUUGUCGCGUCGGGAGUGAAAACACUGGGCUUAACUCAGUGCUUGCUUCCGAUACGGGCAGACUAGAGGUAUUCAGGGGAGAACGGAAUUCCUGGUGUAGCGGUGAAAUGCGCAGAUAUCAGGAGGAACACCGGUGGCGAAGGCGGGUCUCUGGGCAAUAACUGACGCUGAGGAGCGAAAGCGUGGGGAGCGAACAGG